Molecule: long non-coding RNA, 328 nt
Filed under: Mytilus galloprovincialis (Mediterranean mussel)
Lineage: Eukaryota; Metazoa; Mollusca; Bivalvia; Mytilida; Mytilidae
Source: RNAcentral
CAAGUCAGAAGACUUGUAGUUUAGAAGUUGUCGUUGGUUCAUUUCUGUCAUAUUUGUUUAUCGUAAAUUGUUUUACUAUACAUUGGGCCCAAUCUUAUUAAAAUAAGUUCUCAUCACUUGCUCCUCGAUUUUUUAUAUGUCGACACGGCGACAUAUAAAAAAUCGAGGAGCAAGUGAUGAGAACUUAUUUUAAUAAGAUUGCAUUGGGCCGUUAUUUUUUUUCUUUUCAAAUGUUUCAUAUUUUUCUGUCGGCCCCUUUUAGCCGACUAUACGGUCUCGUCUUUUGCUCAACAUUGAAGGCUGCACGGUUACCUAUCAUUGAUUACAC